CAGCACUGAUUUAAUCCAGCUCAUCCAGAGCAGGCAGCUUGCCCUAGGGACUGGCCCCACACAACAGCAAGCCUUCAGGGAACUUGUGGGCCUGCAUAGGCUGGGUGCCUAGAUUCUCUGCAGCAGGGGAUUCCGAGUAACUUUCUUGUGUUCACAAAGAAAGUAAGCAGGAGAACAAGGAAAAACUCAUUCCAUGGGCUUCUGAAAUCCCACCUGGAGAUUUGGGCCCCCUAAGCAAGUAUGUGGUCUUUCAAGUUCUCUUGGCAUCCGAAAGUUGGCAUCUGCUCCCUUAUACACAUCAUCCUCGCCAUUAAACAUAGUGCAAGCGAUUAAAGCUGCUAGGGUAAAAAACAAGUUUCAGUAUAACUAAAAUGGGAUUUCUUUUACUAACUAAAAUAAAGGAGAAUGUAAUAAAGUACUUUUGGAGAAAUAUUUUGUUCUAUAUUUUAAGAGAAAUGUAUGAGGGAUUGAAGAAAAAAUGAUCAUUAUAAGAAUAAGUUUUGAACUGUUUGAGCUACAGAAACGUGUCUUUUUGGCCUUUUUAUUUAGCCAUUUGUCUCAACAGACGUAAAACUUUUUAAAAAUAUGUUUAUGAUUAAAUUUUCAUAAUAUGAAAAUGGCGUGGGGACUAUAAAGAUGAAUAUGGAAAAACUUACAUGUAUUUGGCAUUACAAUAUGCCUGAGUGCUUUACAUAUCUUAUCUGGUUUGAUUCUCACACACACAUAGGGAUAAAGAAGCAAACUUAGAAAAGUAACAGUUGGUAGUGGGACAUGGAGAUGAGGCUAGGUCUGCCUGAUCUUAAACUUCCCAGCUCCCAGAACUGUGAGAAACAAGUUUCUCCCGUUGAAGACACUCAGUCUAUGGUUUUCCAUCAUAGCAGCCCGAGCUGACCAAGACACUCUCCCUGCUCUGCAGCCUGGAAACUCUCUUCAAUAGCCUGGAAAAUCACAGAUCUCAUCUCACUUGUCUUACUUCUCUCAAGGAUCACUGUCCAGCUCUGCCUUUUGUCAAUGUCUGAAAACCGUUAGUUGUUCCAUAUAUUUUGUCUAGCUUUUCAGUUCUUGAAUGAAAUAGGAUAAAUUAGUUCCUGAUACGCCAAUGAUAGCCAGAAGCAAAAGAUGACAGGUUGAACUUUACAAGCUUCCAUUAUCACAAUCAAGACAGCUCUAUUCUUUUGUGUCAAAAUGCACCCUAGACAUUUUAGUUUUCUCUGAACACUUCGUUUAACUUAUCUAAAGUCAUGUAGGCCAGGUUUUUCCCUUAGGAGCAAAGACCUGCUCCCUGGGGGCUCUGCAUUCCUGGAUACAUAAUGGG
Equus caballus (horse) is the source of this 1315-nucleotide long non-coding RNA. RefSeq lists it as uncharacterized. Lineage: Eukaryota; Metazoa; Chordata; Mammalia; Perissodactyla; Equidae. The record is from RefSeq and is a predicted model, not a curated record.